Molecule: unclassified non-coding RNA, 665 nt
Filed under: Hevea brasiliensis (rubber tree)
Lineage: Eukaryota; Viridiplantae; Streptophyta; Magnoliopsida; Malpighiales; Euphorbiaceae
Source: RNAcentral
GGAAAAAAGUCCACCUAAAAGAUUUAAGAGAGACAUCAGACUUUCAGAACUACAUCCUGCUUCUCAAAAUUGAUGGGUAGUCCAAGUUCAAAGAAGUGCAUUCGAAUUCAGAAAAAUAUGUUCAUUAUUCCUCAUCAGCAGGUUAUUUGCAGCAAUCAUCUCCCGUUCUUGUGAAAGCAAUAAGCUUAAUACAACUUACCCAACAUAUUGACUUCACCUCGUUGGUGACUUCAACUGAAGGUAAGACUCACUAAAAUAUUACCAAAAUUUAUACCCUCCUUGUAAGUCCAAGGAACACCACAGCAGACGCAAUCUGAACUCUUAAAUCUGCAAUAUCAACAUCAUGACCACCUUCAACAAGACCCCAAUUGUCAACCUGCAAAUCUUCCUCAAGCCUAAUUAACUCAAUAGCUUCCUCAAUCCCCAAUCUACCACGGAAAAUUCCAAGUGCAAUGACUAAAGAAUGUGCAGCUGAAGCAAUUGCAUCAAUGGUUGCCAAUUCACAAUCAUCUGUUUUCUUGAGAACGCUUCCGAUGGCACUAACAAGACCAUCAUCUUGCUUUCCACCAAAAAAACUGGUGUGUACAGUGGGUUUGAAGCCGAAUUCUGACUCUACCCACUUAAGAAGGGGAUCAAUUUUCUCUACUUGACGCUCAAGAACUCCG